CGCGGUAAUACGAGGGGGCAAGCGUUAUCCGGAAUCACUGGGCGUAAAGGGUCCGCAGGUGUCCCGUUAAGUUAGAUGUUAAAUCGCAAGGCUCAACCUUGCGGCUGCAUCUAAUACUGACAGGAUAGAGGAUAGGUGACGGAAGUGGAAUUCCUGGUGGAGAGGUAAAAUCCGUAGAUAUCAGGAGGAACACCCGUGGCGUAGGCGGCUUCCGAACCUAUUCCUGACACUCAGGGACGAAAGCUAGGGGAGCAAACAGGAUUAGAUACCCUGGUAGUCCUAGCUGUAAACGAUGAAUACUAGAUAGUGGGUGCUACACCGUACUCACCGUCGUAGCUAACGCGUUAAGUAUUUCGCCUGGGAACUACGAUCGCAAGUUUGAAACUCAAAGGAAUUGACGGGUCCCCGCACAAGCAGCGAGGCAUGUGGCUUAAUUCGAUGCAACACGAAGAACCUUACCUGGACUUGACAUGUUUCUGAAAGGCCGGAGAAACCCGGUCCCUUCCAGUUUACUGGAACAGUUUCACAGGUGGUGCAUGGUUGUCGUCAGCUCGUGUCGUGAGAUGUAAGGUUAAGUCCUUAAACGAGCGUAACCUUUGUCAUUAGUUGCCACCGGUUCGGCCGAGCACUCUAAUGAGACCGCUAGCGACAAGCUAGAGGAAGAUGGAGAUGACGUCAAAUCCUCACGUCCCUUAUGUCCAGGGCCGCACACAUGCGACAAUGGUAGAGACAGCGGGUUGCGACGGGGUAACCCUGAGCUAAUCCAUAAACUCUGCCUCAGUACAGAUCGAGGGCUGAAAUUCGACCUCGUGAAGAUGGAGUUGCUAGUAAACGCAGGUCAGCUAUACUGCGUUGAAUACGUUCCCGGGGAUUGCA
Molecule: ribosomal RNA, 876 nt
Filed under: uncultured Caldisericota bacterium
Lineage: Bacteria; Pseudomonadati; Caldisericota
Description: bacterial SSU rRNA
Rfam family: Bacterial small subunit ribosomal RNA
Source: RNAcentral